Sus scrofa (pig) is the source of this 2231-nucleotide non-coding RNA. Lineage: Eukaryota; Metazoa; Chordata; Mammalia; Artiodactyla; Suidae. The record is from RefSeq and is a predicted model, not a curated record.
CGGAGUCUCAGCUUUCCAGCAGGUGGAAACACACAAGGCAGACACUCCCGGGUGCAAAGGAGAAAUCAAAGAGAAUCCACGAGCACCCUUCACGGGGUGGCUCUGGCCACCCCCCCCCCAGGGGACUGUCCUUCUGCAAAGCCAGGAGAGACAGCUGUCCCCAGGGGGAGGCCUGCCUGAAUCCUGGUGCUUCACAAGGUCGGCUGCCAGCCUGUCCCCCCGGGGCGCAGGCAGACAGCGCAAGAGGCCACCUGCACGCUGGACGAACUCAGAGAGGCAGAGAACAGAGCAAUCCCACGGUUUGGAAUGAAGAGAAGAGCACGUGUGUCUGCCUGGCUGGAUCAUAAGCUGUCUGUCGUCUUCAGACGGGAGGCGAUGCUUCUAGACGUUGCCAGGGUUCUCUACUGACCCCACCUGAGGACCAACACAGUGAAGGGCGCCCUCCCUGCCCUGGGGUCCCCUCACAGUCACCCCCAGUGCCUCUCUCUACAGCACCGUUUUGCCUUGGGAAGGAGUCAGCACAGGAUCCAGGAAGGAUGGAAAGUGCUUUUUCUCUUUCUUACCCAUCGUCUCUGGCCCAGCUGCCUGAAGAGCCCCCCCACCCCGACGCCCCGUAACCUGCCUCCUCACCUUCGUGCUGUUCUCCACACAGCAGCCAGCGUGAUCCUGUGAAAUCGAUUGUCAGUGCAGCGCCCUCCUCUGCUUAAGCGCCCGUGGCCUCCAAGUGAGUUGACUUGUCCCCCAAAAAGCUACGUCCAAGUCCUCACCCCGGGUGUCUGUGAAUGUUUACUUAGUCGGAGAUGGAGCCUCGCAGAAGUAAUUUAAAGAUGUCCAGAUGCUGGCAUAUUGGAUUUAAGUUCUAAAUCAAAUGACAGGGGUCCUUAGACAAAGAGGGCACAGAGUUAGACAGACAGACAGACAGAAAAGGCCAUGUGAAGAUGGAGACUGGAGGGGUACAGCCAUAGCCAAGCAACACCUGAGGCCACACAGAAGCUGGAAGAGGCAGGAAGCGUUCUCCCCAGGAGUCUCUGGAGGGACCACAGCCUGGCCUAUCCCCUGAUCUCGGACCUCGGGCCUCCAGAACUAUGAGAGCACAUUCCUGUUUCAAGGCACCAAGUUGGUGGUACUUUGUUGCCGCAGCCCUAGGAAACCGUGCAGUCUGCUACGGCAGUUAGAAAAGAAUCGCCAGCCCUUCCGGAGACUGUCGGACCCCGUGGGCCCGGCUUCUCGCAACCUGUUUCACACACAGCCUCUCCUGGUGCCCCCAUGCUCCAGCCACACUUGCCUAAGUUUUCCUCUGACGCACCGGCCCUUUGCACAUGCUCGUCCUGCUAUCAUCACCGCAGCCUCCGUGCAGGUACCGCCUCCUCUGGAAGACCUUCCUUCACCCCCGUGGUUGAAAUAACUGUUAACUAACCCUCUACCCUGUUGCUGAGCUCAUCUCCUCACGACAGGGUCAUUCUGUCCUGUGAUGGUUCACGCGAAUGCUGUUUGCCUCCACGGGAAGGGUCGGCGGGUCAGGAACAUGCCCGGACUCCCAGUUGAUUUUUCCCGAACAAAGGCAGGUACCAUGUGUAUGCCAGGUGCUCCGCCAAAUGCCUGACAAGUGUUACCUCAUUGAACCUUCACCAAAAACAUAUUUUACCGGUGAGGACAUGGAGGCACAGACAGUUUAAGUCCCUUGCCCAAGGUCACACAGCCUGUAAGUGGUGGAGGCAAGAUUCGAACCCAGAGUCAGUGAGUUUAAACCCUCUUCUGGACACACAGGAGCCUUCAGUAAAUGUGUGCCAUAAAGAGGGUGGGCCAGCCCCUCGCAGGUAACCUCCCAGGUGGGAGGGAAAGGGAUCCAGGAAAUGUCUCCCGUGUCUACACCUCCCCCUCUGCUCCCGCCAAGGUUCAGGGGAUGGGGGGGGAGCAUCGCCGAGGAGAGUUCUAGAAGAGCUCCCGGCCCCUCCCUCCCAGGUGUGGGCUGCUUCCCGGGGUGUCCGGCUCCCACUCCCCUCUCACUGGCAUCUUACCCCCCUCUCUGCCCGCCGGGGCCCUGAGCUCCUGAGGGAAGGGGUCCCGCGUUACCCAGGGGUUCCUGCGUGGGACCCCGGGGCCCUGCGCCUCCAGCCCCGUCACUGCGCCUCCAGAGGAGCAGCCCCAACCCGGGUCUGGAGCCGCCCCACCUCCAGGGGCUGCUGGGGCUCGGUGGGGCGGGGCGGGGGGGGGCGGUCCUCGUCUCUGGG